UUUUGGUCUUUUGUGAGAACGGGUAAAAUUAUAAGUUUUGUUGAGAAUGACUUUUAGUGGUUAGUGAGAAUAGUUGUUUUACUAAGUUACUAGAGUAAAAUUAAGAUUUUACCGUUUAGUGACCGUUAUUAGUGAAUUACCGUUAGAGUGUAGAAACUUUUGAGUUGUGAAUAGAAGUGGGUUAAGUCCACUAGAAACUAAGUUAAGCCCAUUAAGGAG
RNAcentral lists this long non-coding RNA (219 nucleotides) under Medicago truncatula (barrel medic). RNAcentral describes it as "long non-coding RNA (MTRU_LNC004047)". Lineage: Eukaryota; Viridiplantae; Streptophyta; Magnoliopsida; Fabales; Fabaceae. The record is from RNAcentral.